AUUGAACGCUGGCGGCAUGCCUUACACAUGCAAGUCGAACGGCAGCACGGGUGCUUGCACCUGGUGGCGAGUGGCGAACGGGUGAGUAAUACAUCGGAACGUACCUUAUCGUGGGGGAUAACGCAGCGAAAGCUGUGCUAAUACCGCAUACGCCCUGAGGGGGAAAGCGGGGGAUCGCAAGACCUCGCGCGAUUAGAGCGGCCGAUGCCUGAUUAGCUUGUUGGUGGGGUAAAAGCCCACCAAGGCGACGAUCAGUAGCUGGUAUGAGAGGACGCUCAGCCACACUGGGACUGAGACACGGCCCAGACUCCUACGGGAGGCAGCAGUGGGGAAUUUUGGACAAUGGGGGCAACCCUGAUCCAGCAAUGCCGCGUGAGUGAAGAAGGCCUUCGGGUUGUAAAGCUCUUUUGUCAGGGAAGAAACACCGGCUCUAACACAGUCCGGGAAUGACGGUACCUGAAGAAUAAGCACCGGCUAACUACGUGCCAGCCGCCGCCGUAA
This 501-nucleotide ribosomal RNA is filed under the name uncultured bacterium. RNAcentral's name for it is "partial 16S ribosomal RNA". It matches the Rfam family "Bacterial small subunit ribosomal RNA", at positions 29 to 523 of the family's 1533-position model. The record is from RNAcentral.